Molecule: ribosomal RNA, 253 nt
Filed under: uncultured bacterium
Lineage: Bacteria
Description: partial 16S ribosomal RNA
Rfam family: Archaeal small subunit ribosomal RNA
Source: RNAcentral
UACCAGCACCCCGAGUGGUCGGGACGAUUAUUGGGCCUGAAGCAUCCGUAGCCGGCCUUACAAGUCCUCCGUUAAAUCCAGCUGCUUAACAGAUGGGCUGCGGAGGAUACUAUAAGACUAGGAGGCAGGAGAGGCAAGCGGUACUCAGUGGGUAGGGGUAAAAUCCGUUGAUCCAUUGAAGACCACCAGUGGCGAAGGCGGCUUGCCAGAAUGCGCUCGACGGUGAGGGAUGAAAGCUGGGGGAGCAAACCGG